GCUGAACACAGCUUCAACCGUCUGUUUGUUGAAAAAUAGUAACGUGACCGCAUUUUCUUGUUAGUAACUGUAACGGCGUUGUAACGAUAGGAAUAGUAAUUAGUUAGAUUACAAACUGGAUUUUCUCUACAGGAACUCUGUAUUAUGGGUUAAUAAACACCAGAAAUGGGUUUUGAUACAAUUUGAAGAAACAGAUUCUAAAAACUGAAUUUCUCAAAACUAAAUUUGUUUGUAAUUGUGAGUUUUUGUUUUAUUCACUGUGUGUGUUUGUUCUACUUUUUACAUUUUCUAUUUUUUCUUUUUCUUUUUUUUUUGCUGUGUACAGCACUUUGGUCAACCUGUGUUGUUUUCAAAUGUGCUUGAAUGAGUUUAUGGACACUGUCACCUCCUAUAUCCACUUCUGCGAGGACAACCCUGGUUUACUCCUAAACUCAAACAGCUGUGGUUAGAGAAGAGAAAGGUGUUCAGAAGCGGAGGCAGGGACUGCUACAGAGAGGCCAAGUACAGGUUCAGUAAAGAAGUGGAUAUUGCUAAACAUCAGCACCCUGAGAAGAUGCAGCAGCAGAUCUCUUGAUUGAAUUUGGAAAAAAGCUGGGGUAACUGAAACUAUUUUGAACUGUGGAAGGUUAAGUGUGACCUACUUAACAGCAACUCUGAUUAUUUGUUCUUUUGUUUUAUUUCACUUUGGGGACACGACCUCAUUUUAGGUUUGACAGUGUUUUUUAAUAGCUAAAGACAAAUGACUUAAACAUGAAUUGAGCUGCCGUUUGGGGAAAGCCAAUAAAUAAAAAUAAAAAUAAAAACAAAAAACUGCUCAGUCCAUAUGUCAGAUUCUGAUCACCAUAAGUAACAAAUUACCUUUCUGUUUCAUGCUUGUGAUCUUUAUCAUGGCAGCCCAAACCUUUUUCACUCAAUCUUAUUGCAACUUAUGUUCUAGUUUGAUUCUGUACAAUUCAUUUCCCUCCUUAAUCUUCACCCUCAGUUCUCUGUGAAGCUUUUAUUCCUGUCACCCUCCCUGAAAGCCUUUUCCUUCCCAUUCAGCAGUUCCUUCUGGCUGGUUAUAACCCAUGCCUUGUUAUUAGGAAACAGCAAAUUUCUUUAGAGGGCAAGAUUUCCUUCUGUUAAUUAAUAUUGUCCCCAUACAGCUCACAGAAAAGAUCUCUUGCUCUGUUGUAUAAAAACAGCUUUUCAGGACUUCAUCAGCUUGAAGAUACCAGCAUUUUGAUGUUUUGGUGGUGACUGGAAGGCUCUCAUAUGUAGGAGGGAG
Molecule: long non-coding RNA, 1267 nt
Organism: Astatotilapia calliptera (eastern happy)
Lineage: Eukaryota; Metazoa; Chordata; Actinopteri; Cichliformes; Cichlidae
Source: Ensembl